GGGGACUGUAGCUCAGUGGUGCAGCAUCUGCUUUGUAUGCAGAAGGACCCAGGUUCAAUCCCUGACAUCUCCA
Molecule: non-coding RNA, 73 nt
Organism: Podarcis lilfordi (Lilford's wall lizard)
Lineage: Eukaryota; Metazoa; Chordata; Lepidosauria; Squamata; Lacertidae
Source: the annotation of a GenBank genome assembly